UGCAGUGCAGCACACAGAACAGCAAGCCGUGGUCUUGUACCUCCCAGGCAUGGCUUGCAACGUUCCUCACAUGAUGCUUAGAGAAAACGCAUGGUCAUAAGAAAUGCAGCUCAAAGUGUGCACACUACCACAGCUCAGGGAAGCAUUCGCUCUGGAUCCUUUAAGCUUUUAUUCCUGGUAAGGCAGCCUGCUCUCUCAGCACGUUGGGUUCUCCAGGAAGGAGGCUCUGAGACGGACAUUAGCAUGGAGGAGGUUUACUAGCAGAAGAUAAGAGGGGAAAGCUGGCUCGGGAAGAGGGAAAGGUCAGGUUGCAAUGUGAUCUCCACUGAAGCUUUAGCUGGCCUCUAGCUCUGAAGAACAGAAGACCUUCCAGUGGUGUUCCGAGUCUGGGAAGAACCGAGGGGAGAGAGGGAAAGAGGAGGGAACCAGAAACUUGGUGGAGUAGGAGGAUCCUGAGUUCACCUCAUCCCAUGCACACACCAAGGCAACAGCUACACCUGUACAACUUACUCUGAAAAUGACCUGAAGACUAGCAGAAAACACCUUCUACAGCUAGUCAUAGAGAGAAUGCCACAUCGAAAAGGGUUAAGAUGAAAACAGAAAAAUCUCCCCUGUGGAAGUGACAUUUAUGUGACUUGAAGGAGGAAAAGGAGAGAGUCAGCAGCCAUCACCAGACAUCUGGCUUUGGAAGCAGUUUUGCUGAAGAGAACACAACCUGUGCCACUGAAUCCAAACAGCAUUCAUUCUUGGUGGUCGCGAGCAUCCUUGCAUCCAGAGAAAGGAAUCACUUUGCUAUUUUUUAUGGUUUAAUUAUAUUAUUGCAUAAAACAUUUUGGCUGUAUAACUUUCUGGACUUCCCUGUUUUACAACCUAUAAUCCCGCUGAAAUGUGAAAUGUACCUAAAAUUAACAAAGACAGUGUCUCAUCCCACAUCUCUGAUUUCAUUUAGGCUUGAAGAAGUAGUCCAACAUCACACAGAGUACAAAGCACGGGAGCAGAGAGACCUAGGUUUGCUCCCAGCUCUGUGCCGCAAAGUCACUCAUUGGUGACCUGAAUUAAGCCACAAUAGUUGUCUUAGUCUUAGACUGUGUUGUUCUUUGAAUGAUGCCAUAGAAUUAGAUCAUCUCCAAGGGCCCUGGUAGCUCUAACACUCUACUGCUGAACUCAGGCUGACAUCUGAGACAGACUCAUGAGACUUAUCUUCAAGUUUUCAUUCCUAUAAUGAUAUGUGGAUGACUAGGGGCUGAAAUAUUGGGAAGAUAUCAUGGAAACUUUCUCAUAUAGACAUCAGAAAAAAUGGUCAACAGAUUUUUGUACCAUUUCUGUUUAAAAUCCUUAUUUCUCUGGAUAAGAAAUAAAGGUUUUGAGAAUAUCUUCAAAAAUAUUAUGGCACUCUCCUUCUCCUCUACCCCUGGAGGUUCCACUGGGUAAGAAAGUUCUGAAAGACACGUGGGAAUUUGGCCAAGCACUCCCUUCUACAGCACUCACAGGAAGGAGGAUCCAAGGAUUUGCUGACAUCCAGCUAGGGGUCCAUUUGGAGCCAUCUACAGAUACUCUAGAGACAUUGUGCUCUUUCAAUGAGGAAAAGCCACACAUAUAAAAAGCCAUACUCACUACCUAUUUCCUGACCCAUUGCAAACCACCACAGUCUCUUCUCAUCAGUCUUUCUUCCAAAACAUAAACUAUACUGUGACAGCCAUAAUGCUUCUAUUUACAUUUCUGAGGCAAUAUUUUUAAGAUCCUUGAAAGCUAGACUGACAACCAUAGCCAGUCUAUGACUUCAUUUUUUAAAAUUAAAGGUUAUAUUGCUGUUGCACAUCUAUUUCUGAGUAGCAAUUCACCCCAAAACUCAGUGCUUGAAGCAACAAUUUAUUAUUUCUCAUGCUUCUGUGGGCUGAGGUUUUUCUGCUAGACUCACCUGGGCCCACCUAUUUUGCUGCAUUCAGCUGGAGAGAGUCUCUGACUUCUUCACUGAUGUCUGGCAGUUGGUCCUGGCUAUUGACUGGGGGACUUUGGUUCUCCUCGGUGAGGUUUCUUAUCUUCUAGUAGGCUAGACUGGUUUCCUUACAUGGUGGUUUGGGGGCAGCACUUCAAGGGAACAAAGUGGAAGCCACAGGCUUCUUAUGGCCUAACCUCAGAAGUUGUACAUUAUUUCUGGUGCAUCCAUUGGUCAAAGCAAGUCACAAUUCCAGAUCAGAGUUAGGAGGUGGGGAAAUAAACCAUCUCUUGCUAGGAGGCACAGCGAAGUCAAAGAGACAUGUAUGUAGGAAUUGCUGCUUUUUUCACCUCCAUCUGCCACAGACAACUUUUAAAAUGAGGCAAACCGUAAGAGACUCUUAAAUACAGAGAACUGAGGGUUGAUGGAGGUGGGGAAAGUGGGUGAUGGAAUUGAGGAGGGCACUUGUUGGGAUGAGCACUGGGUGUUUUAUGUAAGUUGUGAAUCACUGGAUUCUACUCCUGAAACCAAGACUACACUGUAUGUUAUCUAAUGUGAGAAUAAAACAUUAAAAGAAUAAUAAUAAAAUCAUAAAAAAUAAAGUGAUUUUAAAUAGUAAAACAGUACAAUCAUGGAAAAAGCAGAAUGUAUCAAUAAUUACAAGUAAAGAAAUAAAAUCACUCUUAAUCCCUCCA
This is a long non-coding RNA of Neofelis nebulosa (Clouded leopard), 2631 nucleotides long. RefSeq lists it as uncharacterized. NCBI's taxonomy places the organism in Eukaryota, Metazoa, Chordata, Mammalia, Carnivora, Felidae. The transcript has 5 exons. The record is from RefSeq and is a predicted model, not a curated record.